GACGAACGCUGGCGGCGUGCUUAACACAUGCAAGUCGAACGGAAAGGCCCUGCUUUUGUGGGGUGCUCGAGGGGCGAACGGGUGAGUAACACGUAAGUAACCUACCCUUGACUGUGGGAUAACUUCAUGAAACUGGGGCUAAUACCACCUAAGAGCUCCUGCUGCAUGGUGGGGGUGGGAAAGUUUAGCCUGUUGGGGGUGUACUAGCGGCUUAUGGGCUUGUUGGUUGGGUAGUGGCAUACCAAGGCUUUGACGGGUGGCCGGGCUGGGCGGGUGACCGGCCACAUUGGGACUGGGAUACGGCACAGACUCCUAUGGGAGGCAGCAGUGGGGAAUAUUACACAAUGGGCGGAAGCCUGAUGCAGCCACGCCGCGUGCGGGAUGUCGUCCUUCGGGUUGUAUACCGAUUCCGCCUGUGACGAAGCGUGAGUGACGGUAAUGGGUAAAGAAGCACCGGCUAACUACGUG
This 468-nucleotide ribosomal RNA is filed under the name uncultured bacterium. Its description in RNAcentral is "partial 16S ribosomal RNA". It matches the Rfam family "Bacterial small subunit ribosomal RNA", at positions 28 to 507 of the family's 1533-position model. The record is from RNAcentral.